GUCGAGCGGAGAUAGUCCCUUCGGGGGUUAUUUUAGCGGCGGACGGGUGAGUAACACGUGGGUAACCUGCCUAUCACAGGGGAAUAACAAUGAGAAAUCAUUGCUAAAGCCCCAUAAGCUCCCGGCACCGCAUGGUGCAGCGAGAAAAUAUUUAUAGGUGAGAGAGGGGCCCGCGUCUGAUUAGCUAGUUGGUAGGGUAAAAGCCUACCAAGGCGACGAUCAGUAGCCGACCUGAGAGGGUGACCGGCCACAUUGGGACUGAGACACGGCCCAAACUCCUACGGGAGGCAGCAGUGGGGAAUAUUGCACAAUGGGGGAAACCCUGAUGCAGCAACGCCGCGUGAAGGAUGAAGGGUUUCGGCUCGUAAACUUCUUUAGGCAGGGAAGAAAGAAAUGACGGUACCUGCAGAAUAAGCACCGGCUAAAUACGUGCCAGCAGCCGCGGUAAUACGUAUGGUGCAAGCGUUAUCCGGAAUUACUGGGUGUAAAGGGUGAGUAGGCGGUGAGAUAAGUCAUAUGUGAAAGCCCCGGGCUUAACCCGGGGAUUGCAUAAGAAACUGUCUGACUAGAGUACAGGAGAGGUAAGCGGAAUUCCUAGUGUAGCGGUGAAAUGCGUAGAUAUUA
RNAcentral lists this ribosomal RNA (624 nucleotides) under uncultured bacterium. RNAcentral describes it as "bacterial SSU rRNA". It matches the Rfam family "Bacterial small subunit ribosomal RNA", at positions 61 to 699 of the family's 1533-position model. The record is from RNAcentral.